ACAGGUGGUGCAUGGUUGUCGUCAGCUCGUGUCGUGAGAUGUUGGGUUAAAUCCCGCAACGAGCGCAACCCUUGCCCUUAGUUGCCAACAGGUGAAGCUGAGCACUCUAAUGGGACUGCCCGUGACAAGCGGGAGGAAGGUGGGGAUGACGUCAAAUCAUCAUGCCCUUUAUGAUCUGGGCUACACACGUGCUACAAUGGGUGGUACAGAGAGCGGCGAAGCCGUGAGGCGGAGCGAAUCUCAAAAAGCCAUUCUCAGUUCGGAUUGCAGUCUGCAACUCGACUGCAUGAAGUCGGAGUCGCUAGUAAUCGCGAAUCAGCACGUCGCGGUGAAUGCUUUCCCGGG
RNAcentral lists this ribosomal RNA (345 nucleotides) under uncultured bacterium. RNAcentral's name for it is "bacterial SSU rRNA". It matches the Rfam family "Bacterial small subunit ribosomal RNA", at positions 1034 to 1378 of the family's 1533-position model. The record is from RNAcentral.